AACGAACGCUGGCGGCAUGCCUAACACAUGCAAGUCGAACGAACACUUCGGGUCCUGUCUCGCCCGGGUGCGUAACCCGUGGGAACCUUCCCUUAGGUUUGGCCUACCUCUCCGACAGGGGUGACAAUACGGGAUCAUGUCUUCGGCCCCAUGAUUUAUUGCACUUGGAUGUGCCCGCGUUGGAUUCGCUUGUUAGUAGGGUAAAAGAUUACUAAGGCGACGAUUCAUAACUGGGUUGAGAGACAGCUUAGCCACACUUGGAAGGGGACGCGGCCCAGACUCCUACGGGAGGGAGCAGUGGUGAAUAUUGGACAAUGGGCGAAAGCCUGAUGCAGCAAGGCCGCGUGAGUGAUGAAGGCCGUAGGGUUGUAAAGCUCUUUUACCCGGGAUGAUAAUGACAGUACCGGGAGAAUAAGCGCCGGCUAACUCCGUG
This 433-nucleotide ribosomal RNA is filed under the name uncultured bacterium. Its description in RNAcentral is "partial 16S ribosomal RNA". It matches the Rfam family "Bacterial small subunit ribosomal RNA", at positions 29 to 507 of the family's 1533-position model. The record is from RNAcentral.